This 965-nucleotide ribosomal RNA is filed under the name uncultured candidate division GN03 bacterium. Its description in RNAcentral is "bacterial SSU rRNA". It matches the Rfam family "Bacterial small subunit ribosomal RNA", at positions 433 to 1392 of the family's 1533-position model. The record is from RNAcentral.
CUGUCAGGAGGGGAUAAAGCGUAUCGGCCAAUACCCGAUGCGUCUGAAGGUACCUCCAAAGGAAGCUCCGGCUAACUCCGUGCCAGCAGCCGCGGUAAUACGGAGGGAGCAAACGUUGUUCGGAUUUACUGGGUGUAAAGGGUGCGUAGGCGGCUACGUGUGUCAGAGGUGAAAGCUCACGGCUCAACCGUGGAACUGCCUUUGGAACUGCGUAGCUUGAGUCCGAGAGAGGAUGGUGGAAUUCCUGGUGUAACGGUGAAAUGUGCAGAUAUCAGGAAGAACACCGGUGGCGAAGGCGGCCAUCUGGCUCGGUACUGACGCUGAGGCACGAAAGCUAGGGUAUCGAACGGGAUUAGAUACCCCGGUAGUCCUAGCCGUAAACGAUGUCCACUAGGUGUCGGAGGUCCUACCCCUUCGGUGCCGGAGCUAACGCAUUAAGUGGACCACCUGGGGAGUACGCUCGCAAGGGUGAAACUCAAAGGAAUUGACGGGGGCCCGCACAAGCGGUGGAGCAUGUGGUUUAAUUCGAUGCAACGCGAAGAACCUUACCUGGGCUUGACAUGCAGGGGACAGGUGUAGAGAUACACCCUUCUUCGGACUCCUGUACAGGUGCUGCAUGGCUGUCGUCAGCUCGUGUCGUGAAAUGUUGGGUUAAGUCCCGCAACGAGCGCAACCCUUGUCCUUAGUUGCCAGCACGUCAUGGUGGGAACUCUAGGGAGACUGCCGGUGACAAACCGGAGGAAGGUGGGGACGACGUCAAGUCAUCAUGGCCCUUACGUCCAGGGCUACACACGUGCUACAAUGGCACAUACAGAGGGCAGCGAACCCGCGAGGGGAAGCCAAUCCACAAAAAGUGUGCCUCAGUUCGGAUCGCAGUCUGCAUCUCGACUGCGUGAAGUCGGAAUCGCUAGUAAUCGCGGAUCAGCAUGCCGCGGUGAAUCCGUUCCCGGGCCUUGUACACACCG